AUGAAAAGGAAGAGAACUUCCUGGUUUGUCCCAAUGUGCUUGAAUGAUAGUUUACAUGAAUGGUUUUUCUGUAGUCUUGAAUGCUCUGUUUUACAUGUUUGGGCAUGGAGAUCAGUAAAUCAGCCUACACAUUCUGAUAUUUUAGUGUUUACUAUUAGUAAGGAAUUUUUGAAAUCAAAUUCUUCAGUGAAGCAUAGAGCGUAG
Molecule: non-coding RNA, 204 nt
Organism: Vicia faba (fava bean)
Lineage: Eukaryota; Viridiplantae; Streptophyta; Magnoliopsida; Fabales; Fabaceae
Source: the annotation of a GenBank genome assembly